Molecule: non-coding RNA, 790 nt
Organism: Chiloscyllium plagiosum (whitespotted bambooshark)
Lineage: Eukaryota; Metazoa; Chordata; Chondrichthyes; Orectolobiformes; Hemiscylliidae
Source: RefSeq, a predicted model, not a curated record
GCCCUUGUUAAGGAACCAUUGUUUUACUGGUUGGGAACAGCCUGUAUUUAUUCUUUGUCCUUUUCUCAAAGCAAAAGAUAAAUGUUGAUUUUAUGGCUGGGCUUCGCCCUUGCACUCUGGUUUUCUUUGUUUUUUAUGUGUUUUCAUGUUUUUUUUUCUGGUGGUUGAACUGAGCCCUUGUGAGAAAAUACAUUUUUUCAGAUGAGCUGCUCCUGUUGGUAGGCCUGGCCUUGGUUGGUGGACUAGGCCUCUGUUAAAAACUGAACAUCUGUGUGUGCUGGGAGUGGUGAUGGAGGAAGGUGUUUGCGAGGGCCUGCUGUAGUGGAAAUGCGGUAGAUCCAGAUGUCUGUUCCUUGUGGCCACUGCUUAAUCAAAGGCUUCAUUGUUGGUGGGUCGGUCCGUUCAUCCUGCUGGUCCCAAGUUUCCUCAAAGCUAUGACAGCAAUGUGGACGCUUCAGGCAGGGACUGAAGUGGCAAUGGCUUGAGCAACCAGCUUCAGCAUCGGAGACUUGGCAGGACUGGUCUGUCCCUCCUUGCUAUGGUGGCAGUGGCAGCGUGGUGCAUCUGGUCUGGAAAUCCUUGCUUUGGGGUGGCUUCAGGAACAACAUCACGUAACCACUCCAUAAAUCCAAAUUGCCAUGGAGGGUACAAAAGAUAAAAUUUGUCCUAACUUUUUCUCAAUUUUUAAAAUAUAAUUUCUGUAAUUAAAAUGGUGCCAAACUGUGGCAACUUGUAUAUAUCUCGCUGUAUUUUCAUACAUGCAAGUUACAAUAAACUGCUGUUCUUUUUU